RNAcentral lists this unclassified non-coding RNA (235 nucleotides) under uncultured fungus. Its description in RNAcentral is "sequence contains ITS2". The stretch from base 1 to 52 matches the Rfam family "5.8S ribosomal RNA", at positions 103 to 154 of the family's 154-position model. Lineage: Eukaryota; Fungi. The record is from RNAcentral.
AACGCACAUUGCGCCCCUUGGUAUUCCGAGGGGCACGCCUGUUCGAGCGUCAUUUAAACCAUCAAGCCCUGCUUGGUCUUGGACGCGGUCGAGUGACCCGUCCGUAACCCGUUGGCGGUGCAGUCCGGCUUCAAGCGUAGCAAGAAUUUCGCUUCAGGAGUCCGUGGCGGCGUCUGCCAGGAAACACCACCCAAAGUUUGACCUCGGAUCAGGUGAGGAUACCCGCUGAACUUAA